GACGAACGCUGGCGGCGUGCUUAACACAUGCAAGUCGAACGGUGAAGGGACCGGUUUUUGCUGGUUCUGGAUGAGUGGCGAACGGGUGAGUAACACGUGAGUAACCUGCCCCCUUCUUCUGGAUAACCGCAUGAAAGUGUGGCUAAUACGGGAUAUUCUGCGCCUGCUGCAUGGUGGGUGUGGGAAAGAUAUUGUUUCGGUGGGGGAUGGGCUCGCGGCCUAUCAGCUUGUUGGUGGGGUGAUGGCCUACCAAGGCGGUGACGGGUAGCCGGCCUGAGAGGGUGGACGGUCACACUGGGACUGAGACACGGCCCAGACUCCUACGGGAGGCAGCAGUGGGGAAUAGUGCACAAUGGGCGCAAGCCUGAUGCAGCGACGCCGCGUGAGGGAUGGAGGCCUGCGGGUUGUAAACCUCUUUCGCCAGUGAAGCAGGCCUGUCCCUUGUGUGGGUGGGUUGACGGUAGCUGGAUAAGAAGCGCCGGCUAACUACGUG
Molecule: ribosomal RNA, 493 nt
Filed under: uncultured bacterium
Lineage: Bacteria
Description: partial 16S ribosomal RNA
Rfam family: Bacterial small subunit ribosomal RNA
Source: RNAcentral